This 341-nucleotide ribosomal RNA is filed under the name Staphylococcus aureus. RNAcentral's name for it is "bacterial SSU rRNA". It matches the Rfam family "Bacterial small subunit ribosomal RNA", at positions 1193 to 1533 of the family's 1533-position model. The record is from RNAcentral. Lineage: Bacteria; Bacillati; Bacillota; Bacilli; Caryophanales; Staphylococcaceae.
UCAUGGCCCUUACGAGUAGGGCUACACACGUGCUACAAUGGCGCAUACAAAGAGAAGCGACCUCGCGAGAGCAAGCGGACCUCAUAAAGUGCGUCGUAGUCCGGAUUGGAGUCUGCAACUCGACUCCAUGAAGUCGGAAUCGCUAGUAAUCGUAGAUCAGAAUGCUACGGUGAAUACGUUCCCGGGCCUUGUACACACCGCCCGUCACACCAUGGGAGUGGGUUGCAAAAGAAGUAGGUAGCUUAACCUUCGGGAGGGCGCUUACCACUUUGUGAUUCAUGACUGGGGUGAAGUCGUAACAAGGUAACCGUAGGGGAACCUGCGGUUGGAUCACCUCCUUA